UACGGAGGGUGCAAGCGCUGUCCGGAAUCACUGGGCGUAAAGGGCGCGUAGGCGGCUCAUGAAGGCUGUGGUGAAAGUCCGGGGCUCAACCUCGGAUCGGCCGUGGCGACUCGUGGGCUGGAGCACUGUAGAGGCGAGUGGAAUUCCCGGUGUAGUGGUGAAAUGCGUAGAGAUCGGGAGGAACACCCGUGGCGAAGGCGGCUCACUGGGCUGACCUUGACGCUGAGGCGCGAAGGCGUGGGGAGCGAACGGG
This 253-nucleotide ribosomal RNA is filed under the name uncultured bacterium. Its description in RNAcentral is "partial 16S ribosomal RNA". It matches the Rfam family "Bacterial small subunit ribosomal RNA", at positions 524 to 776 of the family's 1533-position model. The record is from RNAcentral.